This 614-nucleotide long non-coding RNA is filed under the name Olea europaea subsp. europaea. Lineage: Eukaryota; Viridiplantae; Streptophyta; Magnoliopsida; Lamiales; Oleaceae. The record is from RNAcentral.
AUUGUGUAAUUAAAAAUAAAAAAAAUGAAAAACGAAAUUUUAAUGUAAUAAAAUUCAAACGGGCCAAAUCUCAUUAAUUGUCAUGACUGUACACCCUCCCCCCCCCCCCCCCCCCCCCCACCCCCCUCAAAAUUCAAUGACAUCACAUGGAUAUCUGUCAAGCUAUAUGUAAAUGUUUUCUCUUUCUAUCCAAAAAGUUCUAUUCUGAGCAGUCCAAUCCAACGGCCUAAAGUUCUCACAGAGUCCAUGGAGCAAUGUGUGUGUUAUAGUAUAUUUCACAUCAACUUAUACAAGUUGCGGCCUUGGUGAAGUCAGCCUGCUGCAAAAGCAGAUGGAAAAGUACAGUGCUGGAAUCCAAAUUUAGUGGAGCUGAGAGUUAGGUGUGUGGAGGAAGACCAUCCACUCAUUCCCCACAUGCAUAAAUAUCUUUGAAUAUUUUAUACAUUUUACGAAUCGAAUGCAAUAUCAAAAGACUCAAAAGUGGAGUUAAUUGUUGUAUUUAUUAUCGAACUUAUGUCCAUAAUUGAUCACUAAAGUGUAAAAUAUUCAAUUAUGAUCACUGAAUUUAAGUUCAUGUAUUCGAUUGCUCACUAAAGUUUCAAAUAUGAUCACUG